This 858-nucleotide long non-coding RNA is filed under the name Androctonus crassicauda. Lineage: Eukaryota; Metazoa; Arthropoda; Arachnida; Scorpiones; Buthidae. The record is from RNAcentral.
GCUUUUUAUAGUUAUGAGGAAAUUUAAGUCUUGGAGAUUGGCCAUUAAUAAAUUUGUGUGGUAUUAUUGGACUGUAUUAGCUAUAUAUGCUGAUAUAAAUUUUGAUAUAUUCUUUUUACUGGACGAACUGUUUAUAAAAUAUUAAGGGUGAUAUUGAAAUUUUUUUAACCACACACUUUUGUGACUGUAAUGAAAAAAUGAAUAAGCAGCCUAUAAACACAGGACCUUAUCUCGGGAAGUGCAUGUUGAUAUUAAAUCAACAUUAUGCAUUUUUCAAUUAUAAAACAAUUGUUUAAUAUUUUAUCAACAGAUGACGCCACUUUCCAAUCAGUGAUAAUUAGUAAUUGGCGGAAGCUAAUAAUAACCAUCCCUGAUAAUAACCCUGCCACAGACUACCCACCUCUGUGGAAAGGUCAGCCGAAUUGUGGAGGAUGGGGCCGGCCGGGCUCUGACACUAUAUUUUCAAGGGGUGAGAACCCCUUGAAAAUAUAGUGCUACAAUUCGGCCCGAAAAAUAGAUCCGAAUCCUGUAGAUGAAGAACCGAAAUAUUUCCACGUGACCAUUUCGGCCGAUUGUAUAAUAAUAAUAUUUUUUUUGUCUAUGAGGUAUUGUACACACAGGCUUUUGUCUCUGUGAGGUAUUUUUUGCAUAGCCUUUGUACACUGCUGUUUUGUCUGUGGACUUUCGCCAUUCGCGUUUUUCCUGGAAACGAUUAAAUUAAAAGUUUCGUGGCUUCAGAGUUUUUCCCGUGGGCAUAAUUUGGUUUGCAUGAACCUAAUUCAACUAUCACAAAUUAAGAAAAAUUAUUUCUAUGAAAGCUUUGAAUUUAUGUACGUACAGUGUAUCCUGAAUAUUUUC